GGUGAGGUGCGAGAGUGGUUGAAUCGGGCGGUCUCGAAAACCGUUGUACCCUUUGGGUACCGUGGGUUCGAAUCCCACCCUCACCGCCA
This 89-nucleotide transfer RNA is filed under the name Candidatus Solibacter sp. RNAcentral's name for it is "tRNA-Ser". It matches the Rfam family "tRNA". Rfam says of the family: Transfer RNA (tRNA) molecules are approximately 80 nucleotides in length. Lineage: Bacteria; Pseudomonadati; Acidobacteriota; Terriglobia; Bryobacterales; Solibacteraceae. The record is from RNAcentral.